This 4913-nucleotide unclassified non-coding RNA is filed under the name Leishmania donovani. RNAcentral describes it as "gene:unknown". The record is from RNAcentral. Lineage: Eukaryota; Euglenozoa; Kinetoplastea; Trypanosomatida; Trypanosomatidae.
ACGAUGCGCCAGCUCAACGGAACGAGUGUUUCGGCUCAUCGCUUCACCAGUCACCACCCCGACAGAGACCGCCACCGUCAAGCAUGUUGGGUGCACCGAGUCCGGCAGCAGGCGAAUUCAGACGCCGUCUUGCACGGCUUUAGGGGUGAAGGGCACAAGAGAGGGAAGGAUUCUGGCAGCCCUCUCAGCACCGGGGCAACCCGAAGGAAGCGUGGAAGAGGUGGUGCACCUCAUGACUGAGAAACUUGUGCGCGAGCACCAGCUGCAUGUCUCCCCGUAGAUCCAGGAGGACAUCAUGGCUGAGGCACGUUUGGAGGAAGUGAAGAGCAGCGCAGCAAAGCCUGCAACUCGAAAGGAGCGAAAGAGUUCGUGCAUGAGUCUCGCUCGGCAAGGCGAUCCGACGCCGACAGCGGAGAUGCCAGGUCAGUGCCUGCCCUUCUCAAACGACCUGAGCGGUUCGAGCUGCGCACUUCUGCGCAUGAUGUUCCGCUUCAACAGCCAUGACGCCACCCAAACGCAUAAUUCGUCUGUGGUCGGCCUGUCGCACCGGAGGGCACAGUGGCCCGCCCCGCGGUGGGUGAACUGCCGAAUUUGCUUUUUUUUACUCUUGAGGUUACGCGACCUCCACGUAUCCCUUUAACAGGCUCAGGACACGGCGGCAAGCGGCGGUCGGGUUGGCGACGCGGAGAGCGCUGUCGCCGGGUUUUGCAAGAAAAUCGAGGAUGACGUGUAGCGUGGUGGCGGGUGCAUUCCCGUCUACAACGCCCAAGGGAACGGGACAGAGCGGGUUUGGCGGAUGUGGGCGAGACGGAGAGGCAGCUGAACGCUUUCGCAUCUGGCCCGCUUCACAAAGUAGGUGACCAGAUCACGAAUCUGAAGGGGAAAGUGCGGCAAAACCAACCGCACCACGGCUACAGCAACAGGGGUCAUGGCCGAGGUCGGGGCGGCUACCGAGGUGGACACCGUGGAGGCAGUGCCGAGGAGCAGCAACAUUCCUCAAAAAAACUGAGACAGGGCUGCCUGUCGGGUGGCCCGGAGAAGGACAAGACAAUGAGAUGCUCACAGGGGUGGAAGCUUGUCACGCGGGAAGACGACACACCACGGGGCUGCCUUUUCCUCUGCCAGAGUGCACGCCAAUGCAGCUGUGUUGCGCGUGCCGUCGACUGACCACGCUCACGGACGACCUGACCGGAGGAGGGCUGUACCGCCAAGUCAGCACUGCGGAGAGAAGCGACUGCUGCAUACCCCUGCACACGCGACAUCGCUGGCCAGCCGGUAUCCCCGCAUGGGGGUCGACUCGCCGCAAGGCACGGCAGCGUACUUUUGGCUUCGCCUCCGUCCGUCAUCGUGGGGGCCGGACGUACGCAAGACCUUCUCGAGGAUGGCGGCACAGCGGCCUCUGACCUUCGUCAGGUGCAUGGCGCAACAACGCCUCGGCGCUGACUGCGAGGGUUCUCAUGUUGAUCUAUGUAUUCGCAGACGCAUCAGAUGAAGCGGUACGACGGCCCCCAAGACCGUACCCAUGCCGCUUGCGCCCCGGUCUUCCACAGGGACAUAGCGAAAGGCGGCCUGGGGAGGCGAGACUUCCGUGCACGGCUACGUGGACUCUUCCGUAACUGCAAAACCGAACAGACGCCUCCACAAAGGGCCGGGGGCCGUGUCCUCCCCUUUCCUUAUCAUGUGCGGCCGGUUUGACACCGAGGAGAACGUCCCGCUGGAGUAAUCCGAGGCAACUCAUGGCUGAGCGUCGCGAGGAGGACCUGAAAAGCGUCGACCAAUCGUGUCCCGCUACGCAACGAUGCACAGCGCGCUGAUACCCCCGUGCCGCUGUGUGCUGAUCGGGGGCAACCCAUGAACACCGAGGAAUCACCGGAAUGGUCAGCAGUGCACGGCAGGAUGGCACCAGUUGAUGGGCAGCGAGAUUCCAAAUCCGGCGCCACACGUGCCCGGUGGGUCUGACCUACAGAGGAGGGUCAGGGCCAACCACUUCGUGAGGCCCGUACCCGGUGGCAUCCCGCCUCAGCAGGCAGGAUGGUUUGACGCUGGCGGCACCGACCGAGCCAGCGGACGAGCAAGCAGACCUCGUGCAAGGACCUCGCAGCGGCCAAGAAUAAGACGAGGCGGGCGGGGCGCGCUCAAGGACGUCGACCCGGACCUGAAGCUGGCCCCAGUACGCAAAGCAGUGGCCCACCAUCUGGCGCAGAUCGGGAAGGGGGUCCUAAAGGAGGACAUAAUGCAACCAGCCAGACAUGCAACGAUCGAAACGGUGCGGCGACACCUGGGCUACUCCCAGCAACCUACGUUGGAGGCUGUUUGAGUGCAGCACAACGCCUCAGUCUUCCUCUCCAAGACCCAACGGGGUAGGCCGCACGCUGCCAAACGCUCAUGAAUUCUCGGCAUUGCCGCUAGCGAGUCACCCGAGGGAAUUUGGGUGCUCCGGGGGGCCUGACCGCGGGUCAGGACGCGGGCAUCUCCUCAAGCUGGCCGCCACAGUAGAAAGAUGUGGCGUGGCUAGAUGUUCAGGCAAUCACCCACUUAGCAGUAGCAAUAAGAAAAUCAAAUGAAGGUCCGCGGGAGGCACUCUUGUGUGUAGAGUCUUUUCCCAGCUUCAAGCACCCGCAUGCCCCUCGCUCGAUCCGUUCUGCCGGACUCGAGCCGCGGGAUUUGGAUCUCUCAAUGCGAAGAAAGGUAAGUUCGGGCGAUGCUCAGGCGGCCUGCGCCACGCGCUCGUGCAGGAUGCUCACUCCGUUAUCGUGCUCUGGGUGCCAGAGCACAAAGACAGACGAAGGCUGAUCCCUCAGCCGACACCCGAUGGUCUCAUUCGAAAGGUUUGUGGUACAUCUCGUCUGAACCUCAUGUCUGCCCAUCCGCUGGGGAUUCGACAGGGGCGCAAUCCGUGCUGCAAGUGGGAUUUCGAUGCCUUCUGCGAUGUCACCCCGCUGCGAAGGGAGGCGCACAACAGCUUCGUCUUGCGAGUUUGCAACCAGCUGUGCAGACGUUGCACCUCGUCCACCGAUGCCCGCUCGAGCGUGUCCGCAGCACAGCCCAUCACAAGCAAAGAUUGUGGUCACUGACGCUCCCGCCAGGGCACACGCCAGGAUCCACAGCGUCUUGCUGGGAGCCAGGAUUGGCCAAGGGGGACGGCUUUUUCCGUGCCAUCCGCGCAGUGAUGCAGCAGAUUCAAGUUGCAACCCUACGGAUAUCCCCGACCUUGCGAGGCCCUCUUAGCCACAUCCGAUGAAGAGCUGCUGCAGAUGACGCGCGGCUCCACAACUUUCGUGGGCGAGGAGUAUGAGUGGCACGCCAGCCGCAGACAUGUGCGAAGCGCAGUGGAAUCCGUUGCGAAGUCGAAGCUCGCGCUCCACAAGCAGCAGCGCGCGAGCACGCAAGCUUUCAGUUUUGAUUGCCCUGAUGAUGUGCGUGGUGCGGACGAUGAGGAUGAGCACAGCUGAUACAAAUUUCUUUGUUUUGCGUAGCCGUACACCGACGGUAUAUCAGCCCAGGUGGGCAGGAGGAGGGAAGAGAGCUUGAUAGCCCACUCCCCCUCUUUCACUGCCGAAUCGGAGAAAUCCGCCCUCGCCACACUGGGUCGGCGAUCGCUGGAGAGUCGAUGGUGUUUCAUUGCCCCCCCCCCUCCGUGUGUAGCCGCACCGAUGGAAAAUACCGCGUAUGACCUCAUUGCCUUCACGAGUGCCUCGAGGGAGGGAUGAGAAGGGCGCGGUCCUAUCGUGGCGAAACGGGGUUGCAGAGGCCAUGCCGCACCGCUGGCUCGAUGACCCAGCCCCAGUGAAAGGGUUCCGCUAAAAUUACAAAACUUGAAUCCUCAUUUUGCGGCUAGCCACUUAACGCACAGCGAACCCUCAGCGGUCACCUGAAUCCUACGCGAGCUUCGACGAAAUGGGCUUUCCUCCUGGGAGCCACGGCCACUGUGGUAACCGACUACGGCGCCACCGUGCAAGCCCAAAAAGGAUGCCCGACGGUUUCCGAGGCAUCGGUGGUAGAGGCGUUGCCCUGAGCGGGUUUCUCGAAACGAUGAACGACCUUUUCCACAAUGAGGGGGCAGUCAUUCUGCUUCUCUACAUCAUGGGGCUCUUGGGCUCAGCCGACACACCGUCUCCAGGGCCUUUCCGGUGUAGACGUGGUAAGAGCGAUUCUUCGUUAUCAGACUCGGGGGCUCAUCCCCACUGCCACGCAGCUAUGCCAGACCGCAGCACUUGUGCGAGAACGCGCGGAGGUACCGGCUGUGGUAGAGAGGGGGGCUCAAGGCUGCAGAGCCACAGAAGGCGUGCGUGCAAGGAGAAGUGGCUAUGCGGAAUGUGUGCGAGUACGCCAGGGAGAGCACAAGCGACUCGCGAGAUAAAGCACGACCAGAAGCAGGGAGUGCACGUGUUUCUUCUUUCCGCCAGACUCUGCACCCUUAGGCGAGUGGCGACGCACAGGUGAAUGAUUUCCGUGCGUUCUCCACUUUCCAUUUCCUUCAUUUCUUUUCCUGAUCCCUCCCUUCUCACCCCUGUGCGUGUGUCUGUGCAUCGCGGCGUGCGCGCGUUCCUCUUCCAGGUUAUAUAGCUCUUUAACAUCCUAUGUGGACUCCUUCUUUUUCGUGUGUGCUCUUGUAGUUGUGGCUUUGGCUGCGACGGUCAUUGGUGUGCUUGCGGUAGUCCUUGUGGCUCCUGCCGCGGUGUUGGACAUGGGGCAGAAGGAGCGGUGAGGUGCGUCGGGUGGUGUUGGGCCCCUUCCCACCACCCUCUCCCUUGCGCGGUUCUCUCCCUAACCCUCUUCUGUUCGUUGUUGCAUUUGCUUCUCUACGGACCAUCUUUUUUUGUUUUCGUUUUCGUUUACCCCCUCCCCCCCCCCACACACACACACACGGCUCAUUGGCAGACGGCAUGGGAGUGCCAGUUUGGGGGUUCAUG